UAGAAAAGAUUCUAAAAUGUGAUAAUAAAUCAGGUGAUAGUAAAAAUGCGUCGUGGGAUGACAAAAGCGAGCUUUGUUUGCUAAAGAUAUAUGGGAUAAAGACAUUAGUGAAAAGC
Long non-coding RNA from Prunus avium (sweet cherry), 116 nucleotides. RefSeq lists it as uncharacterized. The record is from RefSeq and is a predicted model, not a curated record. NCBI's taxonomy places the organism in Eukaryota, Viridiplantae, Streptophyta, Magnoliopsida, Rosales, Rosaceae.